UUUACAAUGGUUUUACAGCCACCGCGUUGCAUCAUGGGAUCUUCGCGGUCUGAAUUUUGAAUUUUUAGGCGGUUAGUUCUAAACGUACAUUCUGGGAGUAAGCCGUCAUUCAAGAAGACGGAAAAGAAGCAAUUCUGGGACGAAGUGAGCUGACCGAAUUCCUAUCCAGGAGAAGCUGCCAGAUGCCGUAGACAACAGGAGUCAGAACAUCAUAGUACUUCCAACAGCAGAAGACACCAGGAGUGGGGAAGGUUCUGGAUGCUUAUGUCUGAUGUGGUGACCAUAGACCUCCAUUAUAUGACUGGCAGAAUGAUG
Pimephales promelas (fathead minnow) is the source of this 315-nucleotide non-coding RNA. The record is from RefSeq and is a predicted model, not a curated record. Lineage: Eukaryota; Metazoa; Chordata; Actinopteri; Cypriniformes; Leuciscidae.